RNAcentral lists this ribosomal RNA (439 nucleotides) under uncultured bacterium. Its description in RNAcentral is "partial 16S ribosomal RNA". It matches the Rfam family "Bacterial small subunit ribosomal RNA", at positions 338 to 795 of the family's 1533-position model. The record is from RNAcentral.
CCUACGGGAGGCUGCAGUGGGGAAUAUUGCACAAUGGGGGAAACCCUGAUGCAGCGACGCCGCGUGAGUGAAGAAGUAAUUCGUUAUGUAAAGCUCUAUCAGCAGGGAAGAAAAUGACGGUACCUGAGUAAGAAGCCCCGGCUAACUACGUGCCAGCAGCCGCGGUAAUACGUAGGGGGCAAGCGUUAUCCGGAUUUACUGGGUGUAAAGGGAGCGUAGACGGCAGUGCAAGGCUGGGGUGAAAGGCGGGGGCUCAACCCCCGGACGGCUCUGGAAACGGUACGGCUGGAGGGCAGGGGAGGUAAGUGGAAUUCCUGGUGUGGCGGUGAAAGGGGUGGAUAUUAGGAGGAACACCGGGGGGGAGGGCGGCUUACGGGACGGUAACUGAGGUGGGGGCUCAAAAGCGGGGGAAGCAAACAGGAUAGAUACCCCGGUAGUC